Molecule: unclassified non-coding RNA, 713 nt
Filed under: Hevea brasiliensis (rubber tree)
Lineage: Eukaryota; Viridiplantae; Streptophyta; Magnoliopsida; Malpighiales; Euphorbiaceae
Source: RNAcentral
AAAACAGAAAAUGGAAUAAAAGUUAUCACGGAUCAUGGCGAGGAGUUGUUGGCAGAUGCUGUGUUGUUUGCGACUGGUCGCGCUCCUAAUUCAAAAAGAUUAAAUUUGAAAGCAGUUGGUGUCGAAGUUGAUAAACAGGGUGCUGUGAAGGUUGAUGAUUAUUCACGCACAACUGUACCUAGUAUCUGGGCUAUUGGAGAUGUUACAAAUAGAAUGAAUCUUACGCCCGUGGCUCUAAUGGAGGGAUCAUACUUUGCCAACACUGUUUUUGGUGGUGAACCUACCAAACCAGACUACAAUUUUGUACCCUAUGCUGUAUUCUGCAUACCUCCUCUCUCUGUUGUGGGCCAAAGUGAAGAAGAGGCUGUAGAGAAAGCAAAGGGUGACAUUCUGGUGUACACAUCUUCGUUCAAUCCAAUGAAGAAUACUAUCUCUGGCCGACAAGAAAAGACAGUAAUGAAGCUCGUGGUUGACGGUGUCACACAAAAGGUCCUUGGCGCAUCGAUGUGUGGGCCCGAUGCACCUGAAAUUAUGCAGGGAGUCGCUGUCGCUCUUAAAUGUGGAGCAACAAAGCAACAGUUUGAUAGCACUGUCGGAAUACACCCAUCUGCUGCAGAGGAGUUCGUGACGAUGCGAAGUGUAACUAGGCGAAUUGAAGCAGGUAGCCAAUUGAAAACAAACCUGUAAACCCACGCCCACACAUUUUACUGGCG